Long non-coding RNA from Oncorhynchus tshawytscha (Chinook salmon), 1030 nucleotides. The record is from Ensembl. NCBI's taxonomy places the organism in Eukaryota, Metazoa, Chordata, Actinopteri, Salmoniformes, Salmonidae.
UGAUGAGUGAUUAGUUAAUUGACUAUAACUGCCUUGGAAGUGAGGGAUCUAACAUUAAGUAGCCCUAUUUUGAUAAUGGCAGGAAUGGAGGAGGUCUUUAUUCCAGUGAGAUUGCUAAGGUGAACACUGCCAUGUUUAGUUUUGCCCAACCAAUAUCAAGGCACAGACACGGUCUCAAUGGGGAUAGCUGAGCUGACUACACUGACUGUGCUAAUGGUAGACUCCACUAAGCUGUCAGGCUGGCUAACAGCCUGCUUCCUGGCCUGCACACUAUCUCAUUGUGGAGCUAGUUGAUAACCUUAGCAGUAAAUGCAAGAAAUCCUACCUUACUAAAACUCAUCCUCUCUCAAUCUCUCUUUAGGCCUACUCACUGGGGGGCUCCCAGUCGAAUGGCUUUGGAGGUUCACUGUGUUUCUCCCUUUCCAGUCCUAACCUGUGAGAGUCUGUCACUCCCCUUGAUACAGGUGUUUAUUAGCUAUCAAUUCCAUUAUUUCCUGUAGUGUUCAUGAUCUCUCAACUUGUGGCCUUUAUUUUCUGUCUUCCUGUAGCAUAAAAGCUGCAAUUGAAGUGUAGACCGUGGCUCAAAGGGACCCACCCGGUUUGCGUCCAGAAGCUUAUGCCGCAUUCAAGUACUAGUCGGACCAAGGAAACUCUGACAUUUCCAACUUGCUAACUGGUUGUUGUUACACACGUGCCGCAUUCAAUGAAAUCAGCAAGUUGUACAUUUCAGAGUUUCCUAGUUCCAACUAGCAUGUGAACGCGGCAUUACUCCAAAAGCCUACCCCGGACGACGCUGGGCCAAUUGUGCGCCGCCAUAUGGGACUCCCAAUCACGGCCGGAUGUGAUGCAGGCUGAAUUCGAACCAGGGACACGUCUUGCACUGAGAUGCAGUGCCUUAGACCACUGCGCCACUCAGGAGCCCAGGACAAAUUAGCUAGCAACAGCAAGCUAGAUAGCUAAAUUGCCAUGAAUGUUUAAUGCUUUUCAACCUGUCCCCAAAUUAAUGUAGUUGGUUCAGAGUUCACGUGCG